RNAcentral lists this ribosomal RNA (301 nucleotides) under uncultured bacterium. RNAcentral describes it as "partial 16S ribosomal RNA". It matches the Rfam family "Bacterial small subunit ribosomal RNA", at positions 509 to 807 of the family's 1533-position model. The record is from RNAcentral.
CAGCAGCCACGGUAAUACGAAGGGUGCAAGCGUUAAUCGGAAUUACUGGGCGUAAAGCGUGCGUAGGCGGUGAGUUAAGUCUGCUGUGAAAUCCCCGGGCUCAACCUGGGAAUGGCAGUGGAUACUGGCUCGCUAGAGUGUGUCAGAGGAUGGUGGAAUUCCCGGUGUAGCGGUGAAAUGCGUAGGGAUCGGGAGGAACAUCAGUGGCGAAGGCGGCCAUCUGGGACAACACUGACGCUGAGGCACGAAAGCGUGGGGAGCAAACAGGAUUAGAUACCCGCGUAGUCCCUGUCUCUUAUAC